This 279-nucleotide ribosomal RNA is filed under the name uncultured bacterium. RNAcentral describes it as "partial 16S ribosomal RNA". It matches the Rfam family "Bacterial small subunit ribosomal RNA", at positions 506 to 784 of the family's 1533-position model. The record is from RNAcentral.
UGCCAGCCGCCGCGGUAAUACGAAAGGUGCAAGCGUUGUUCGGAUUUACUGGGCGUAAAGAGAUCGUAGGUGGUUUAUUAAGUCGGAUGUGAAAUCCCGGGGCUCAACCCCGGAACUGCAUUCGAUACUGGUAGACUAGAGUUUGGGAGGGGUAAGCGGAGUUCCGUGUGUAGCAGUGAAAUGCGUAGAUAUACGGAGGAACACCUGAGGCGAAGGCGGCUUUCUGGACCGAUACUGACGCUGAGACGCGAAAGCGUGGGGAGCAAACAGGAUUAGAUA